UAUAACAUCAGGAUAAUUGGCACUUUGCAAUGGGCAGUUUUACCCAGUAAAGGAAAUGAUUAGAGGUUUUGGGGCUGAAACAAUCUCAGCCUAUUCUCAAACUUUCAAUGGGUAAGGGAGCAGGCUCGUGUGGUAGGGGACUUGGGAGGAGUUCCCCCCGACAUGCCAUGGGAGGAGGCUGUGAUGUAGACUCCCGCCUCCCAGGAUGUCCAUCAAACACUACCACUCCCCCCGAAUUAUGUAAUUAUCAGUUAUUCCCACCUUCUGGUUAUGUCAAUCACCCAUUUGUACUUACCCUUGUUCUGGAAGGUUCUUAAGUUCUUUGAGUAUAAUUGGUUCUUCCCCAGUUACCGCCCCCUUCCCUCAUCCUCAUUUGUUGUAUCCCUAUCACCCCAUCCUAACUCCUCCUCCGAACCCUGUUCCUAUUGGACCCUUUGUAUCCUGCCCCUCCUACUCUGCACCUGGUUAUAAACUCUACCCUGCCCCUUGCUCGGGGCUCUGUUCGAGCCUGCUCCCUUGCUGUGUGUUUGGGUCGCAGAUCCCAGCUGACAUCCAGCCCUCAGUGAAAUAGAGCAGCUUGAAAGAGUCAUCCCGCCUGGUACGAGCCUCAUUUAUCCACCAUUGUAGAGGAGCUGCUAGCCAAGUUCUCUACUAUUUGGAGAUCUCGCGAGGCAGGACCUCUACAGGCUCAGCAUGGAGCUAAACUGUGGAACACGAGUGGUCUGUAGGCCACUUUUGGUAAGCAGAACUGGCUCUGCAGGAUGAAGUGAACGCUGCCGUAAGGUGCCCACUGCUGACGCACAUCAGAGCCCAGAAAAGGUGUUGGUUGAUCUGGACAGCAGGAUCAUGGCCAUGGAAGUCAGAAUCUGCUAAUGAGUGUGUAACAGCUCACUUGAAUCCGCCAGCCCUGAAAAUGAAUGGAGGUGGGGCAGGUGGCCUGGCGCCACGCGAGCAGUGGUGGGUGUUACAGCCCCCAG
The sequence is a non-coding RNA, 977 nucleotides long. It matches the Rfam family "Eukaryotic large subunit ribosomal RNA", at positions 967 to 1381 of the family's 3401-position model.